CUCCAGACUCCUACGGGAGGCAGCAGUGGGGAAUAUUGCACAAUGGGGGAAACCCUGAUGCAGCGACGCCGCGUGAGCGAUGAAGUAUUUCGGUAUGUAAAGCUCUAUCAGCAGGGAAGAAAAUGACGGUACCUGACUAAGAAGCCCCGGCUAACUACGUGCCAGCAGCCGCGGUAAUACGUAGGGGGCAAGCGUUAUCCGGAUUUACUGGGUGUAAAGGGAGCGUAGACGGUCCUGCAAGCCAGAUGUGAAAGCCCGGGGCUCAACCCCGGGACUGCUCUUGGAACUGCGUGGCUGGAGUGCAGGAGGGGCAGGCGGAAUUCCUGGUGUAGCGGUGAAAUGCGUAGAUAUCAGGAGGAACACCGGUGGCGAAGGCGGCCUGCUGGACUGCAACUGACGUUGAGGCCCGAAAGCGUGGGGAGCAAACAGGAUUAGAUACCCGUGUA
RNAcentral lists this ribosomal RNA (446 nucleotides) under uncultured bacterium. RNAcentral describes it as "bacterial SSU rRNA". It matches the Rfam family "Bacterial small subunit ribosomal RNA", at positions 329 to 792 of the family's 1533-position model. The record is from RNAcentral.